This 106-nucleotide small RNA is filed under the name Marmota monax (woodchuck). The record is from RNAcentral. Lineage: Eukaryota; Metazoa; Chordata; Mammalia; Rodentia; Sciuridae.
GCCAGGCAUGGUGGUGCACACCUGUAAUCGCAGCAACUCAGGAGGCUGAGGCAGGAGGAUAGCAAGUUUGAGACCAGCCUGGGCAAUUAGCAAGAUCCUGUCUCAA